AUACGAAGGGGGCUAGCGUUGUUCGGAAUCACUGGGCGUAAAGCGCGCGUAGGUGGAUCAAUUAGUUGAGGGUGAAAUCCCGGGGCUCAACCUCGGAACUGCCUUCAAUACUGUUGAUCUUGAGACCGAGAGAGGUGAGUGGAAUUCCUAGUGUAGAGGUGAAAUUCGUAGAUAUUAGGAAGAACACCAGUGGCGAAGGCGGCUCACUGGCUCGGUACUGACGCUGAGGUGCGAAAGCGUGGGGAGCAAACAGGAGUAGAAACCCUAGUAGUCC
RNAcentral lists this ribosomal RNA (274 nucleotides) under uncultured bacterium. Its description in RNAcentral is "partial 16S ribosomal RNA". It matches the Rfam family "Bacterial small subunit ribosomal RNA", at positions 523 to 796 of the family's 1533-position model. The record is from RNAcentral.